GUUUAUAGUCAGACCACACUGAAUAAGCCCAACCUCGUCUGAUCUCAGAAGCUAAGCAGGGUCAGGCCUGGUUAGUACUUGGAUGGGAGAAAAAUUAGUAUUACUAAUA
This 109-nucleotide ribosomal RNA is filed under the name Castor canadensis (American beaver). The record is from RNAcentral. Lineage: Eukaryota; Metazoa; Chordata; Mammalia; Rodentia; Castoridae.